CCUACGGGGGGCUGCAGUAACGAAUCUUCCGCAAUGCACGAAAGUGUGACGGAGCGACGCCGCGUGUGGGACGAAGUCCUUCGGGAUGUAAACCACUGUCAGGGGCAGCCAAGUUCUGAGGCGCCCCAGAGGAAGGCACGGCUAACUCUGUGCCAGCAGCCGCGGUAAGACAGAGGUGCCGAGCGUUAGGCGGAAUCACUGGGCUUAAAGCGUGUGUAGGCGGAUCGUUAAGUGUCUUGUGAAAUCCCACGGCUCAACCGUGGAACUGCUGGGCAUACUGGCGAUCUUGGGCCACCUAGGGGCAGACGGAACAGGCGGUGGAGCGGUGAAAUGCGUAGAUAUCGCCUGGAACGCCGAAGGUGAAAACAGUCUGCUGGGGGUGUGCCGACGCUGAGACACGAAAGCCAGGGGAGCAAACGGGAUUAGAUACCCGAGUAGUC
Molecule: ribosomal RNA, 440 nt
Filed under: uncultured bacterium
Lineage: Bacteria
Description: bacterial SSU rRNA
Rfam family: Bacterial small subunit ribosomal RNA
Source: RNAcentral